UGGUCUCAAUAAAUAAAUAAAUAAAUAAAUGUAACAUACACUUACCACAUGACCCAGCAAUCCCAUUUUUAGGUGUUUAACCAGGAGAAAUGAAAAUUUGUAUUCAAACAAAAGUCGGUUCACAAAUAUUUAUGGUCAGUUUAUUUAUAAUUGCCCCAAAGUACAAACAAGUCAAAUGCACUUCAACUACAGAAUGGAUAAAUUGGUACAUCCAUACAGUAGACUACUAUUCAGCAGUUAAAAAAAAAGCCGUUGAGAUACUCAACAACAUGAAUGAAUCUCAAAGGCAUUAUGCUAAGUGGAAGAAGACAGACUCAAAAUGCUAUGUGCUCCAUGAUUACAGGAGAUGUGAGGUGGGGGUAAGACUUGACUACAAUAGGGCAGUGUGCAAUUUUGGGGAAUGAUGGAACCCUUUUAUAUCUUGAUUGUGAUGAUGUCUACCUAAAGGUAUGCAUUCUGCCAGACUCACAAAACUGUACACAAAGACUAGUCAAUUUCACUGUAUGCAAAUUGUAGCUCAAUAAACCAGACUGGAAAAGUUGAACCAUAAACAUUGUAUAUAACUGGUAUCAUAUUGUAUGUAUCCUUCUGCAACCUGCUUUUUUUGCUCACUACUAAUGACUUUUGAGGUUUAUCCAAGUUGAUACUACGUAGACUAUAAUGAUAUAUGUAGCUUUUCUUUCUUUAUUUUAACUGCUACAACAUAUUCCAUUAUACAUUAUACUUUGUUUAUCCAGUCUCCUGUUGGUGAACAUUUACUUUGUUUCUGUUUUUUUCUCUUGUUUUAAACAAUGUUGCAAUAAACAUUCCUGUAAAUGUAUUCUAUAGCACUAGUGCUGGAAUCUCUCUGCAAGAUAUUUACGUAGAAUAGUAUGUGGAAUGGUUGGGAUAAGAGGGUGGUGAAUAUCUCUGUUUUGCUCUCCAAGGGCUUAUACCAACUGACACUCUACCAGCAUGUGUCAGAAUCUCCUUUUUCUACACACCCAUCAAUAAUUGGGAUUAUCAGACUUUAGCUUUUGCUUAGCUGAUAAAUGUAAAAUGAUAUAUUGUUGCUGCUUUAUUUUUACAAUUUCUCUGAUUGUCAUUGUGGUUGAACAUCUAUUCAUGUUUGUGGGUCAUUUGGGUUUUCCUUCUGUGAAUUGCCUGUUCAUAUUCUUUGCCUGUUUUUUUUUUUUUUUUUUAAUUGUCUUCCCUUCCAUUCCCUUCCCCUUCCCCUUCCUCUCCCCCUUCCCCUCCCCUCCCCUUCCCUUCUCUUCUCUUUUUUCCUUCUUCACAGAUUGUUGCCCAGGCUGGUGAGCAGUGGCGUGAUCUUGGCUCACUGCAACCUUGGCCUCCAAGGUUCAAGUGAUUAUCCUGCCUCAGCCUCCCAAGCAGCUGGGAUUACAAGCGCACACCACCAUGCCUGGCUAAUUUUUUUUUUUUUUCAUUUUUAGUAGAGGCAGGGUUUCAUGAUGUUGGUCAGGAUAAUCUCAAACUCCUGACCUCUGCUGAUCUGCCCACAUCGGCCUCCCAAAGUGCUGGGAUUAUAGGCAUGAGCCACCACACCUGGCCUAGUAACUUUUAAGAUUUCCAUCCUGAGGUUGGGCGCAGUAGCUCAGGCCUGUAGUCCCAGCACUCCAGGAGGCCGAGGCAGGCUGAUCACUUCACUUCGGGAGUUUGAGACCAGCCUGACCAACAUGGAGAAACCCUGUCUCUACUAAAAAAAUACAAAAAAAAAAAAAAAAAAAAAAAAAAAAAGCCAGGCGUGGUGGUGCAUGCCUGUAAUCCCAACUACUCGGGAGGCUGAGGCAGGAGAACUACUUGAACCCGGGAGGUGGAGGUUGUAGUGAGCUGAGAUGGCGCCAUUGCACUCCAGCCUGGGCAACAAGAGUGAAACUCCAUCUCCAAAAAAAAAAAAAAAAAAAAAAAAACCACCAACAACAAUAAAGAUUUCCAUCCUGGGCAACAUAGCAAGAUCCCAUCUCUAAAAAAAUACAAAUAUUAGCUAGGCAUGGUGGUGCCUGCUUGCAGGCUUGUAGUCCCAGUUACUUGGGAGAAUUGCUUGAGCCCAGGAGUUUGAGGCUACAGUGAGCUAUGAUUGCACCACUGCACUCCAGCCUGGGUGACAGAGUGAGACCCUAUCUCAAAAAAAGAAAAAAAAAGAAAAAAAAUUCCUCUUUAUCCUUGAUGUUAAGUGGUUUAAUAAUGAUAGAACCCUAUAUAGACAUAUUAAUUUAUGCUGUUUGUUCUUAGAGUAUGUUUUUGAUUUGAGGACUUGUAUGACUCUUUAGUUCUUUUUUCUUUCUUUUCCUUUUUUUUUUUUUUUUUUUUUUUGAGAUGGAGUCUUGCUCUGUCAUCCAGUCUGGAGUGCAGUGGCACAAUAUUGGCUCACUGCAACCUCUGCCUCCCGGGUUCAAGUGAUUCUCCUGCCUUAGCCUCCUGAGUAGGUGGGACUACAGGUGCACGCCACCACGCCAGGCUAAUUUUUGUAUUUUUAGUAGAGACGAGGUUUCACCAUAUUGGCCAGGCUGGUCUGGAACUCCUGACCUCAGUUGAUCCACUUGCUUCAGCCUCCCAAAGUGCUGGGUUUAUAGGCAUGAGCCAAAACGCCCAGCCUAGUUUUUGAAAAUUCUCAUUGAUUGUCCAUCAUAUAUUGCUUCUCUGUGAUUUUCUGCUGUUUUUCUAAAACUUCCAUUAGCCCUAUGUUGCAGUCCCUCCAUCUUUCUCCCAUUUCUCAUAAUUGCUCUUUUGUGAAUUUCAUCUUUGGCUCCUAGUGCUCUUGUGUUGGUCUGGACCCUUCUAGUAACAGAACGGCCAUAUGAAUGGAGGUCCAUGCAGGGUUUCUCUCUCUCUCUUUUUAGAGACAAGGUCUUUUCUUUUUUUUCUUGCUUCAUUGUCUAUGCUGGAGUGCAGUGGUGCAAUCUUGGCUCACUGCAACCUCUGCCUCCCAGGUUCAAGCAAUUCUCCCGCCUCAGCCUCCCAAGUAGCUGGGAUUACAGGUGCAUGCCACCACACCCGGCUAAUUUUUGUAUUUUUAGUAAAGAUGGAGUUUCACAAUGUUGGCCAGGCUGGUCUCGAACUUCUGACCUCAGGUGAUCUGUCUGCCUUAGCCUCCCAAAGUGCUGGGAUUACAGGUGUGAGCCACUGCACCUGGCCUAGAGACAGGGUCUUGCUCUGUUGUCCAGGUUGGAGUGCAGUGGUGCAAUCCUAGCUCACUGCAACCCCCAACUCCUGACUUCAAGAGAUCAUUUCUCCUCAGUCUUCAGAGUAGCUGGGACCACAGGUGUGUGCUACCAUGCCUGGCUAAGGUUUCUGUCAAAAGUGACAUUGAGAUCUGAAGGGUGGUGAAAUGUCAUUUAGGAACAGGGGAAGUUAGGGCUGGGGGAGUCCUCCAGGCAAUAGAAACAGGAUUUAUGAAGAUGAGAUGGUGCCUGACACAAAGGGCUUGGAUGGGUGCAGAUUGGAAGCCACCAGAAGGCUCUAGCCCAAGAGAAGACUGGAUACAUUGGCAGAUUCUUCUGGCUGCCUUGUGGAGUAGAGGACAGGAGGAGGUCAAGGGCAGGGGUGGGGAAUCCAGCCUGGAAGUGACUGCAGCCUAGCUGAGAGAGCCGUGGUGGCCAGGACCAGUGAGGCAGCAGCGUGGAUGGAGAGAGAGGAGGGAUGCAGAGAUGUUUAGGACAUGAGCUGGCCGGUGAUGGAUAGCAUGGGGUAGGCUGGUGGUGGUGAGGGGGUCCAGGGUCCAGCUGCCACUAGGAGGGUGGGUAGGUUUGGGGACAACCCCUUGUCUUUCUGAUCCUUGUUCAGGUGAGAUCCCCCUGCACAAAUUUCACCUGCUGUUUUUUUUUUCCUGAGCCAUUUCAGACUGCCUCCUGGGGAUGAGGUCUGCAUGAUUUUAUUUCUUUAUUUAUUUAUUUAUUUAGACAGAGUCUUGCUCUGUUACCCAGGCUGCAGUGCAGUGGUGUGAUCUCGGCUCACUGCAACCUCCGCCUCCUGGGUUCAAGCGAUCCUCCUGAUUCAGCCUCCUGAGUAGCUGGGAUUACAGGCAUGCGCCACCACAUCUGGUUAAUUUUUGUAUUUUUAGUAGAGACAGGGUUUCACCAUGUUGGCCAGGCUGGUCUUGAACUCCUGGCCUCAAGUGAUCCACCUGCCUUGGCCUCCUAAAGUGCUGGGAUUAUAGGCAUGAGCCUCUGUCUACGGAAUCUUGUAGCCUACAAAAUCUUCUGGCCUCUGUCUGCAGAAUCUUGUCUGUACCCCGUGCUAGCCUCUCCUCUGACCCACUGGGAGUGUUAAGUCCAUUCUUCUGGACUUUUGCUCCAGCUGUGAUGAAUACUAUGCUUCUACCUCAGUCCUGAGCCUGGACCCAGCUGUGCAAGCCUGGCCAGACCCCUCUCCCAGGGCUGAACACCAAUUUCAAGUCUUCAGGUCCUACUGCAAUCUAAACAGGCUAUCCAGAAGAGAAUCCUGCACCAGUCCAAGUGUGAGCAGGCCUGGAGACUCUGCUGCUGAACUGCACCCCCUGAUGGCCAGCCUGGAUGUCACUUCUAUCCUGCUUGAGCCAGGCUCCCCGGAUCCCUGGACCACCUCCACUCCAGACCAGACAAUGGGGAAGCUGCUGGUCCCACACCAUUUCUGAGUUUUCUCCUCUAUCCUUCUGCUUAAAGUUCCCUCCAAGGACUUAAGUGCAAGUCAUCCCAGAAACCCAGGUAGGGGAGUAGAGAGGCCAGAUAUGGACAGGAAGGCUGCCAAGAAAGGGGUGUUAGUCAGGCACAAUGGCUCAGGUCUGUAAGCCCAGAACUUUGGGAGGCUGAGGCCGGAAGAUUGCUUGAACCUAGGAGGACUGCUUGAGACCAGCCUGGGCAACACGGCGAAACCCUAUCUCUACAAAAAAACAAAAAAACAAAAAAACCCCACAAAAAUUAGCUGGACGUGGUUGUGUGCACCUGUAGUCCCAGCAGAGGGACUCUUGAGGCAGAGGUUGUAGUAAGCCCAGAUCGCACCAUUGCACUCCAGCCAGAGAGAGAGAGAGAGAGAGAGAGAGAGAGAGAGAGAGAGGGAGAGAGAGAGAGAGAGAGAGAAAGGAAAUGGCCAGGCGCAGUGGCUCAUGCCUGUAAUCCCAGCACUUUGGGAAGCUGAGGUGGGCAGAUCACUUGAGGUCAGGAGUUCGAGACCAGCCUG
RNAcentral lists this long non-coding RNA (5154 nucleotides) under Homo sapiens (human). RNAcentral describes it as "HSALNT0341506". Lineage: Eukaryota; Metazoa; Chordata; Mammalia; Primates; Hominidae. The record is from RNAcentral.